AGAGUUUGAUCCUGGCUCAGGAUGAACGCUAGCUACAGGCUUAACACAUGCAAGUCGAGGGGCAGCAUGUUGGUUGCUUGCAACCAAUGAUGGCGACCGGCGCACGGGUGAGUAACGCGUAUCCAACCUACCCUUGUCCAUCGGAUAACCCGUCGAAAGGCGGCCUAACACGAUAUGCGGUUCUCAGCAGGCAUCUAACGAGAACGAAAUGUGAAGGAGAAGGAUGGGGAUGCGUCUGAUUAGCUUGUUGGCGGGGUAACGGCCACCAAGGCGACGAUCAGUAGGGGUUCUGAGAGGAAGGUCCCCCANAUUGGAACUGAGACACGGUCCAAACUCCUACGGGAAGGA
This 348-nucleotide ribosomal RNA is filed under the name uncultured bacterium. Its description in RNAcentral is "bacterial SSU rRNA". It matches the Rfam family "Bacterial small subunit ribosomal RNA", at positions 8 to 350 of the family's 1533-position model. The record is from RNAcentral.